UUUGAUCCUCAAAACAACCGCAGCAGGUAUCAUUAUCCCACCUUGCAGGUGAAAAAACUGAGUCCCAGAAAGACUGAAUAACUUGCUCUAAGUUAUACAACUAGUUAAAGGCAGGGCUGGGAGCAGAAGCCUUCUGCCUUUCAGCUCAGAACCCCUCCCAAUGCCUAAUGGCAGCCCAGGGAGUCGGGGAGCUGGAGCCAAAUGUGCCUGCAUCAUUGGGGGCAAGGAAGCUGAGGCUCAGGGAGAGGGUCCACCCCAGACUUCAACCACACCUCCAGCCUGCUCCUCACACUCACAUAGGGCGAAUAAUGAGGAGUCCUGAAGACAGUCUUAUGCCAGCUCCAUCGGUCUGGACAAAGAACCUCAUCUUCCACAAGAAUCAUGCUGUAAAGGAUCCCAGCGUCCUCCAAGCUAGGCAAAUCCCUCAUCUAAAAGUCCCCUGGUCCCAUAUCACACCUGCUUCCCAGCCCCACCAGCACUUCCCACUGAUUUCCCAAAA
Molecule: long non-coding RNA, 499 nt
Organism: Bubalus bubalis (water buffalo)
Lineage: Eukaryota; Metazoa; Chordata; Mammalia; Artiodactyla; Bovidae
Exons: 2
Source: RefSeq, a predicted model, not a curated record